AAGGGAGACCUAAUUCAGGUAGGAGACGAAAAAAAAGUAGUCGCUACCAAGAAUCAAUCCCAAAAGGUCGGAGCGAGGCGAAAUUGGCUUUCAAACUAGGUUCUGGGUUCAAACAAGACCUGAAUCAGGAACAAGGGCUAUUAGCUCAGGUGGUUAGAGCGCACCCCUGAUAAGGGUGAGGUCCCUGGUUCGAGUCCAGGAUGGCCCACCUGCACAGGUGGCAAAAACAAAGAAAAAAAGCUCCGAAUCAGCACCUUAUCUUACUUAUACAGUAAGAGAGAAUGCUGGCUCUGAGUUCAGAGUUCAGAGGAACCUUGAAAACUGCAUAGAGCUAGGUGAAAAAGCCAAAAAAGAAGACCGCAA
Molecule: transfer RNA, 363 nt
Filed under: uncultured Microcystis sp.
Lineage: Bacteria; Bacillati; Cyanobacteriota; Cyanophyceae; Chroococcales; Microcystaceae
Description: partial miscellaneous RNA
Rfam family: tRNA (bases 135-208)
Source: RNAcentral